CCACAGGGAUUGCCUCAGUAACGGCGAGUGAAGCGGCAACAGCUCAAAUUUGAAAUCUGGCCCCAGCGGUCCGAGUUGUAAUUUGCAGAGGAUGCUUUUGACAAGGUGCCUUCCGAGUUCCCUGGAACGGGACGCCAUAGAGGGUGAGAGCCCCGUACGGUCGGUUGCCGAGUCUCUGUAAAGCUCCUUCGACGAGUCGAGUAGUUUGGGAAUGCUGCUCUAAAUGGGAGGUAAACCCCUUCUAAAGCUAAAUACUGGCCAGAGACCGAUAGCGCACAAGUAGAGUGAUCGAAAGAUGAAAAGCACUUUGAAAAGAGAGUUAAAUAGCACGUGAAAUUGUUGAAAGGGAAGCGCUUGUGACCAGACUUGUGCCUGGCAGCUCAGCCGUCCUUUUGGGCGGUGCAUUCUGCCGGCUCAGGCCAGCAUCAGUUCGCGGUUGGGGAGAAAGGUAGCGGGAACGUAGCUCUUCGGAGUGUUAUAGCCCGCUGCUAUGCCCUUCCGCGGACUGAGGUUCGCGCUCUGCAAGGAUGCUGGCGUAAUGGUCAUCAGCGACCCGUCUUGAAACACGGACCAAGGAGUCGUCCUAAUAUGCGAGUGUUCGGGUGCCAAACCCCUGCGCGUAAUGAAAGUGAACGGAGGUGAGAGCUUCGCGCAUCAUCGACCGAUCCUGAUGGUCUCGGAUGGAUUUGAGUAAGAGCAUAUUGGGCCGGACCCGAAAGAAGUGACUAUCGUGGAUAGGGUAAAACCAAAGGAAACUCUGGUGGAGGCUCCCAACGGUUUUACCUGCCAAUCGAUCGUCAAAUUGCGCAUGGGGGGCGAAAGACUAAUCGAAUCUUUUAAUA
Molecule: ribosomal RNA, 842 nt
Filed under: Magnisphaera spartinae
Lineage: Eukaryota; Fungi; Ascomycota; Sordariomycetes; Microascales; Halosphaeriaceae
Description: eukaryotic LSU rRNA
Rfam family: Eukaryotic large subunit ribosomal RNA
Source: RNAcentral